This 122-nucleotide non-coding RNA is filed under the name Platyophrya macrostoma. The record is from RNAcentral. Lineage: Eukaryota; Ciliophora; Colpodea; Cyrtolophosidida; Platyophryidae.
AAAAAGGUCUCGAAGGAAUUUACACAAAAAAAAAGAAAAUGUUAGCGUAUCUUCUUUUCUCCUUCAAUUUUCACUUUUUUUGAAAGUUUAGCAGAAUGAGAAAAAGGGUUAGAAGAAUCAAU